GAAAUGCGAUACUUGGUGUGAAUUGCAGAAUCCCGUGAACCAUCGAGUCUUUGAACGCAAGUUGCGCCCGAAGCCAUUAGGCCGAGGGCACGCCUGCCUGGGUGUCACACAUCGUUUCCCCAACGUCUGGGUUCAUGGCCGACUUCGCCGUGAUAAAAUGGUGGAUGAGCCACGCUCGAGACCAAUCACGUGCGAGCCGGUCAGUUCUGGACCCAUCGACGACCCUUUGCGUGCACGCACGCUCCCAACGAGACCUCAGGUCAGGCGGGGCUACCCGCUGAGUUUAA
RNAcentral lists this unclassified non-coding RNA (287 nucleotides) under uncultured fungus. RNAcentral describes it as "sequence contains ITS1". The stretch from base 1 to 107 matches the Rfam family "5.8S ribosomal RNA", at positions 50 to 154 of the family's 154-position model. The record is from RNAcentral. Lineage: Eukaryota; Fungi.